CCUACGGGUGGCAGCAGUGAGGAAUAUUGGUCAAUGGGCGGAAGCCUGAACCAGCCAAGUCGCGUGAGGGAGGAAGGCCCUACGGGUUGUAAACCUCUUUUGCCGGGGAGCAGUGCCCAGCUCGUGAGCUGGGAGGGAGCGUACCCGGAGAAAAAGCAUCGGCUAACUCCGUGCCAGCAGCCGCGGUAAUACGGAGGAUGCGAGCGGUACCCGGAUUUAUUGGGUUUAAAGGGUGCGUAGGCGGGCCUUCCGGCCGGCGGUAAAAUUGCGGGGCUCAACCCGGCCGCGCCGCGGAGACCGGGGGCCUUGAGUACCGGAGAGGUACGCGGAAUGCGUGGUGUAGCGGUGAAAUGCAUAGAUAUCACGCAGAACCCCGAUUGCGAAGGCAGCGUACCGGCCGGUCACUGACGCUGAGGCACGAAAGCGCGGGUAUCGAACAGGAUUAGAUACCCCAGUAGUC
This 460-nucleotide ribosomal RNA is filed under the name uncultured bacterium. Its description in RNAcentral is "partial 16S ribosomal RNA". It matches the Rfam family "Bacterial small subunit ribosomal RNA", at positions 338 to 795 of the family's 1533-position model. The record is from RNAcentral.